GAUGAAGAACGCAGCGAAAUGCGAUAAGUAAUGUGAAUUGCAGAAUUCAGUGAAUCAUCGAAUCUUUGAACGCACAUUGCGCCCCUUGGUAUUCCGAGGGGCAUGCCUGUUCGAGCGUCAUUAUAACCCUCAAGCUCAGCUUGGUGUUGGGGCCUGCUGCACUGGCAGCCCUUAAAAUCAGUGGCGGCGCCAUCUGGCUCUAAGCGUAGUAAUUCUUCUCGCUAUGGAGUCCUGGUGGAUGCUUGCCAUCAACCCCCAAUUUUUCUAUGUUUGACCUCGGAUCAGGUAGUGAUACCCGCUGAACUUAAGCAUAUCAAUAAGCGGAGGA
RNAcentral lists this unclassified non-coding RNA (328 nucleotides) under soil metagenome. Its description in RNAcentral is "partial contains 5.8S ribosomal RNA, internal transcribed spacer 2, and large subunit ribosomal RNA". The stretch from base 1 to 120 matches the Rfam family "5.8S ribosomal RNA", at positions 35 to 154 of the family's 154-position model. The record is from RNAcentral.